Sus scrofa (pig) is the source of this 8277-nucleotide non-coding RNA. NCBI's taxonomy places the organism in Eukaryota, Metazoa, Chordata, Mammalia, Artiodactyla, Suidae. The record is from RefSeq and is a predicted model, not a curated record.
ACUUCCCGCCAGUUCCCCUGCGGGCCUCCACGCCCCACCCGCCGCCGCCUCGACCGGGAGCUACAUGUCACUUCACCUUUGCUUUUAGUAGCCCUGCAGGAGCGCUCGCACGCUGGGAGCGCGGUGGAGCUCAGAGUUGGGCGCGAGCCCGGCGGGGCCGCAGGCUCCGCCCUGCCCCGCCCGGGCUCGGGGGAAGGCCUCCGCAGGGACAUGUCCUGCCCCCUUCGGCGAGGGCAGGAAAGAGUGAAAGGCUGCGGAGCUGUUAGAGAACGAAAUGUCAUCAGUGGAAUCACACCAGGAACAAUUGUCCCAGUCAGAUCCAUCCCCAUCACCAAACUCAUGUAGUUCCUUUGAGCUAAUAGACAUGGAUGCCAGCAGUUUGUAUGAACCAGUUUCUCCUCAUUGGUUUUACUGUAAGAUAAUAGAUUCUAAGGAGACAUGGAUUCCUUUCAACUCUGAGGAUUCACAGCAACUGGAAGAGGCAUAUGACAAUGGAAAAGAUUGUAAUGGGAGAGUUGUCCCCACUGACGGGGGCAGAUACGAUGUUCAUUUGGGGGAGAGGAUGCGGUACGCUGUGUACUGGGACGAGCCAGCAUCAGAAGUGAGACGAUGUACCUGGUUUUACAAGGGAGACAAAGACAAUAAGUAUGUCCCAUACUCGGAGAGCUUCAGCCAAGUAUUGGAGGAAACUUACAUGCUUGCUGUAACUCUGGAUGAAUGGAAAAAGAAACUGGAAUCUCCCAACAGAGAAAUUAUUAUAUUACACAAUCCAAAGCUUAUGGUGCAUUACCAGCCAGUUGCAGGGUCUGAUGAGUGGGGUUCAACACCCACUGAGCAGGGUCGACCACGAACAGUGAAGAGGGGGGUUGAGAACAUCUCUGUUGACAUUCAUGGUGGUAAUGUUAAUCAUUCUUCUUUUUUCUUCUGGUAUACUUAUCUGUUUACCUCUCGUGGCCUUUAUCUAUGGCUUUUGAUUACCUCAAGGCUUAAAAAUUUUCUUUAAUCAAAUGGGCUUCCAAGUGAACAUGAGCAUUACUUCAUCUACUAAGAAUCUGAAUUAGGUCAAAAAGGUUAAAGUUGCCAAGUAUAUGAUCGAAUGGAUAAAAUUUGGCAGUACUAAUCAGGAAGUCACUAAGUACAAAUGAACUGAUUGAGUCCUAAUUCUGAGAAGUAUAAUUCCCCUUGCUUGAUUAUUCAUUUAUUCCUGGUAACUCCUACCUUUAAGGGUUUUCAAUUAGGGAAAACUGUUUUUCAGUAGGACCUUAAUGGUUAUCCAUUGCUGUCUAGCUUGGGUCAUUUAUGGUUGGUUUUAUAAUGUAUUUAACUAGAUUAUAAAAUUCCUCUCAUCUUGCAGAGGAGAUGGCUUGUCUCUUGGAUAAAGUCUCAGACUUACUGUAAUUUAAGAAGAUGAGUUUAGGAGUUCUCUUGUGGCACAGUGGGUUAAGAAUUCAGCCUUGUCACUGUAGUGGCUUGGGUCGCUGCUGUGGUGAGGGUUCAAUCCUUGGGCCAGGGAACUUCUGCAUGCUGCGGGCAUAGCCCCGCUACCCCCCAAAAAGAUGAGUUUAAUGACAGUUCAAGGUUGCCACAAAUCUUCUAUUUGUAAACAACAAUAAAACUCAACAUUUGUGAAGUGCAAUAGAGUGAAGUACGAUAGGAAAAAAAUAAAAAGAUGAGUUUAAGAUUUCAGGCCUCAAAAUACGUACCAGACACUGUUGGUACAAUUGAUAAAAAUGGGAUAUUAGAUAAAAAUAUUCUGUCAGUGUUAAACUGCCUAAAUUCAGUAACUGCCCUGUGGUUAUAUAAGAGAAUAUUCUUAGGAAAUACAUAUUAAAAUACUAAAGGGUUGAAGAGGUAUGAUGUGUGCAGGCUCCUGAAUAAUUCAGAAAAAGAAAUGGGUGUGAAUACACAUACACAUAGAGUAAUAAAGCAAAUAUUAAAGUGUUGAAUCUGUGUAAACAGGACAUGAAAGUUUUACUCUUCUUUCAUGUGGUUUGUAAGAGUCCAACUGUUUCAAAAUAAAAUGUUUUAAAACCCCCCCAAAUUUUUUUACCAACUUAUUUCAAGAUAAAUUAGAAACCAAGUUAAAAAAUCACUGUUAUUACUAAUUAGUCACUGUAUAUUUAGUAGUUAUAAAUGUAGGACUGUUUAUGUCCUUUAAAAUAUCUGCUCUUGUUUAUUUAUUUAUUUAUUUAUUUAUGGCCUCACCUGCAGCAUAUGGAAGUUUCCAUGCUAGGGGUCAAAUCAGAGCUGCAGCUGCCAGCCUGCACCGCAGUCACAGACACAGCGGAUCUGAGCUGUGUCUUCGACCUACACAACAGCUCAUGGCAACGCUAGAUCCUUAACCCACUGAACAAGGCCAGGGGUUGAACCUGCGUCCUCAUGGAUACUAGUCGGGUUCUUAACCCAUUGAGCCAUAACGGGAACUCCUCUGCUCUUUUUUUCACUUGCCCAUUUCAAAUUACCUAUUUGUUGUGAAUGUCAAUCUUAGAAUACAUGAUGAGUUAUACAGAAUGAUUUUUCUUUGUAAUUUCAUUUGUAGGGGAACCUUUACAAAUAGAUCACUUGGUUUUUGUAGUCCAUGGGAUCGGACCAGCUUGUGAUCUCCGCUUUCGAAGCAUUGUACAGUGUGGUAGGUGUGCAGAGCAAAAGAGAUUAAAUCAUUUAAGGGGACUGUUACUGCUCCUGUGAAUUGAGAUCAGGUGUUGUCUUUCAUCUGUUGUCUUAGCUGCAUAAUAAGAUUUGGAGAGCUAAAGGCCAGCAGCAUGGUGGUAAAGCUUCCCAGCUUAGAUUUAAAAGUGCCAGUAAACUCCUUAGGCUAAUAGGUUUAUUCUCUUAACUAACAGUUCUUGAGUGAGCAAGCCCUCAAGCCUAAUAAAAUGGUUUCAGGAUGUGAUUCCUGUUUCUGACCAUUCCUGAUAUAAAGGGAAUCUAUUUAUAAAUAUAUAACCAUAAAGGUAAUAUAGUUUAAUGAAUAACAGAAGCUCGGUCUUUUUUGUAAUUCAACUUUCAUAAACCUCUUGACAUUCUAAUUGGAAUGUUUAGGUGGUUAGUGUAACUUGAUUUCGAAAGGUAAGUUCUUCUAAAACUUGGUAGUAUUCAUCGUCUAAUUGCCCCAGUUCUGGAAUCUGAUCCUAAUGGCUAAGGCUUCUAAGCGUAAACCUUCUAGAAGGUUAAGCUCUACGUGAUAUGAAUUCCAGACAGCAGUUUUUAAUCCAAAAUAUUGGGUAACGGUUGUUUAUGAGAACCAGAAAGUUAGGAUAGGAAUCUGACUGCAAGGCCAAUUGACAUAGUCAUGUGAUUAAAAAAAAAUUUGAAACUGUUCCCAUGACACAGUAAAAUUUUUGAAGUUAGCAGGGUUUUCUUUGAUCAAAUAUUUUUAUAGUAAAAGCAAAUUCUAUAUUAAAGAAAUGUCUUUUUCUAUAUACAAGGUUAAUUUUUUCUGAUACCACUUUUUUUUUGGCUUUUCUACAUGGAAGUUCCCAGGCUAGUGGGUCUAAUCGGAGGUGUAGUCACCGGCCUAUGCCAGAGCCACAGCAACUCGGGAUCCAAGCCGAGUCUGUAACCUACACCGCAGCUCACGGCAAUGCCAGAUCCUUAACUGACUGAACAAGGCCAGGAUCAAACCCGCAACCUCAUGGUUCCUAGUCGGAUUUGUUGACCACUGAGCCUCGAUGGGAACUCCUGAUACCACUGUUUUUGACUCAGGUCAAUAGGUGCUCUAAGCAAAUGAUGAUAGGCUUAGUGUAACUAUAUGAUCAUUGCAUCCUAAUCCUGAGAAUCCACUGCUUCACUGUUUAAUUUUCUUUUCCAGUUAAUGAUUUUCGCAGUGUUUCUUUGAACCUGCUGCAGACACAUUUCAAGAAAGCCCAUGAAAAUCAUCAGAUUGGGAGGGUAGAGUUUCUCCCAGUCAACUGGCACAGUCCUUUACAUUCCACUGGUGUGGAUGUAGAUCUGCAGCGAAUAACCCUGCCCAGCAUUAACCGCCUAAGGCACUUCACCAACAACACGAUUCUGGAUGUCUUCUUCUACAAUAGCCCCACCUACUGUCAGACUAUUGUGGACACAGUUGCUUCUGAAAUGAACAGAAUAUAUAAGCUUUUUCUGCAGAGGAACCCAGAUUUCAAAGGAGGUGUUUCCAUUGCUGGUCAUAGUUUAGGUUCGCUUAUAUUGUUUGAUAUCCUAACAAAUCAGAAGGAUUCUUUGGGGGAUAUUGACAGUAAAAAGGAUUCGCCAUCUGUUUUCAUGGAUCAAGGAGAUACACCAACACUGGAGGAAGACCUGAAGAAACUUCAACUCUCUGAAUUCUUUAGUAUCUUUGAGAAGGAGAAAGUAGAUAAAGAAGCUCUGGCUUUAUGUACGGACAAAGAUCUUCAGGAAAUGGGAAUUCCCUUAGGACCAAGAAGGAAAAUAUUAAACUACGUUCAGACCAGAAGAAAUUCAGUGGGUAUUAAUAGACCAAGUCCGCAAUCAGCUGCAGGGAUGAACAUGUCUAACAUUCCCAAAGAAUCAGAGCACUGCGGUGAUACUAAUGAGACCGGAAACGAUGAGUAUCUGGACGUUGGCAUUGGGCAGGUAACAUUAUAUUGUUUGCCAUUCGUAUGGUGGAAAUACAGGUAACCUUUGUUGUUUUUUAUUUUAUUUUAUUUUAUUUUAUUUUUUAUUUGUUGUCUUUUUAGGGCCGCACCCAUAGCAUAUGGAAGUUCCAAGGCUAGGGGUUGAGUUGGAACUGUAGCUGCUGCCCUGCAUCACAGCUACAGCAAUGCAGGAUCCGAGCUGCGUCUGUGACCUACACCACAGCUCUCGGCAACGCCAGAUCCUUAACCCACUGAGCGAGGGCAGGGAUUGAACCCACAUCCUCAUAGAUCCUGGUCAGGUUCAUAAACCACCAAGCCAUGACGGGAACUCCUGUAACUUCUGUUAUUAAUGAGAGAUGCUUUUAUUUCCUCCCUCCAGGUGUCUGUUAAAUACCCCCGGCUCACUUAUAAACCAGAAAUAUUCUUUGCCUUUGGAUCUCCCAUUGGAAUGUUUCUUACUGUCCGAGGACUAAAAAGAAUUGACCCCAACUACAAAUUUCCAACAUGCAAAGGUUUCUUCAAUAUUUAUCACCCCUUUGAUCCUGUGGCCUAUAGGAUUGAACCAAUGGUGGUCCCAGGAGUGGAAUUUGAGCCAAUGCUGAUCCCGCAUCAUAAGGGCAGAAAGCGGAUGCACUUAGAACUGAGAGAGGGCUUAACCAGGAUGAGCAUGGACCUUAAAAACAACUUGCUGGGUUCGCUGCGGAUGGCCUGGAAGUCGUUCACCAGAGCGCCAUACCCUGCCUUACAAGCUUCAGAAACUGUAGACGAAACUGAAGCAGAACCUGAAUCAAGUUCAGAGAAGCCUAGUGAUGUUAACACAGAUGAGAACCCUGUGGCAGUUAAAGAAGACAUGCCCCCCAUCCACGUGGGAAUGCUGAACGGAGGCCAGCGCAUUGACUAUGUGCUGCAGGAGAAGCCCAUUGAAAGUUUUAAUGAGUAUUUAUUUGCUUUGCAAAGCCAUCUGUGCUAUUGGGAGUCUGAAGAUACAGUAUUGCUAGUCCUCAAAGAAAUCUACCAAACCCAGGGUAUCUUCCUUGAUCAGCCUUUACAGUAAAAAUGAAUCACUUCUGGCUGCUUAAUACAGACACAGGGAUCCUUCCCCAGAAAACCCACCUCUUGUCACUGGAGUUUCCCUCUCCUCAGCUGCGUCAUGUCCUGCAUGCUGCCUGCCACUUACUCACCACUGGGCUGUUUGGAAGAGAAUCUUCCUCUCUGGAAGUGAGUGGAAAAGCAAAGGGAAGGCCCUCUUACUUUUGACCACUGGCUUCAUGGAAACACUUUGUAGCUGGGGGUGGUUUGCAUCUUUAAUUCUUUGAUGAUGGCGUUUAGGUACCGCACUUUAUUACUUACUACCUGAGAUGUUAUAAAGUCUGUUUUAUUUGGGGUCGGGUAUAAAUUUUUCUAGGAAAUCACCUCUCAUCUGCCGAAAAUAUUCUAUGUAGAAGUGGACUUUUGAGAUUCCGAAGGCAUUUUGGGGUCCACUCAUCCCUCUCUCAUGGGGGUUCUCUGCAUUCGAAGGCUACGUCUGAGUGGAUGAGGGAUGGACUGGUGGGCAGUCACAUUCUUUCAAGCCAGCUGUUGUUUCCUACAAGUACUGUAUGAAGACAGACAAAAACUUGUAAAUACUGUUGCCUCUACUGCUGACUGACAGAUGUAUUGCGAGGACUCAUGAUGCUGUUCAUUGUUUUUAUAGCCGUUUGAGCCACUCUAAGAAUCUAAAAUGGACCCUUUAGUUCACCUCAGGUGCAUCUUUAUAAAGCAGGGGUGUUAAAUAUCCUAGACCUGCUGUUUUAUCUCCUGCUGCAGACUGGCAGACUAGAUGAAGUCUGACUUAGUUAUUUGUUAGUUGUCAUGUUAAGGAUAAAGUUAAGGGCAAAGUUAUAAAAGCCGACAGUCCUGAAAUUACACAGCUCAGGCUGCUUAUUAUGAAGAAAAUCCUUUAGUGGGACCUCGAUGGGGAAACGGUUUGUGUCAGCCACCUGCCACAUCCCCUUGGUUGAAGGUAGUAUUGUGUGUCCUCUUGAAAAGCAUAAGGUGCCUGUAGUCCCGAGUGCUGUGACCCAGGCUCAGGGCCCGACCCUGCUGGUGGAGCAGUAGGUCUGGCUACUGGGAGACACUUACCCUGAAAGAAAAAUCUGUGUCCGUGGGGCCAGGAACAGCUGUUGCAGAGCUGGGGUCAGAACAUGCAUGCAAGAUGUACCCUGAAGAUGGGCAGGUGUAGGCUGAUGUCUGCUCACCACUGUGCUGUAGGUAUUUUUUUUUUGUCACUGGUCAGUUUGUUGUCGUUGCGGUUCUCUUUGUGAGAGUCCUUUACCUUCCUCUCUCAGGUUCCUGCAGGCCCUGGUGGAUAGAGUGGCGUAGGCAGGCCAGCUGUGUUUUGCUUUUUCUGUUGCUUGUAAAUGUACCAUGGUAACCAAAGCCCAGGCAUUUAACAUCCACACAAGCCAUCCCUUCGGCAGCAGUGGUCUUCCUCCCUUUGUGGUGGGUGACUUACCCCAAGAGAGAAGGUUGGGUAAGGUGAGCGCCUUUCUUUGCCCAUGUGCUCAUAGGCUGAUGCUGACCACGCCACUGAGCAGUUCAGGCACGUGAAGUGCUUUAUUUUCUUUACCACAGAAACUCUGAGUUUGAAGUACAGGUUACUGGGAAUCAAGGGCCACAUUCAGUAUAUAUUAUAAAGGGGAUGCUUUCAUCAAAUUGCUCUUCAAGUUUAGAGUUACUCUUCAUGUUAAUGGAGUAAGUACUAUUUAAGAAUAAACCAAAGCACAAGCAAGAGUGAGUCCCUGUAACCAAAGAUGAGCAGCAUCACCCUGGGUCACUAGAUAAACCACUGUUUGUACACAGAAGAGUUUCCUUCUUGGUGGUGAGGGGCAGGUACCUGGGAAAGAGCUUUAUAUCCUGUCUGUCCACCUGUGCUAAUAUCGCAGAUGUAUAUUACACAGAGUAGUGAGCCUGAUUUAAAUUCCUUACUUAGUCGUAUAUUAUUUGCACCACUUAGGUUGUAUCAUGUACAAUCUCUUGACCAAGCCUGUUUUUAAACUCUGGUAGAGUAUCAUUUUAUACAUAUUCCAGCUGCAGAAAUGGUAUUGCUUAAUCUCAGCAAGAGAUUGUUUGCAUGGAAAGAUUAAUAGCACAGAUUCGCUUUCUAAUAUUUUGCACUUUUUGAAAUGUUUGUUUUUUAUGCGAUUAUUUAAAACUUUAGCAAAUACUGAAAUAAAACCAUACUGACCUAUACUUUCCUGGGCUCAUCCAUCGUAAAGUAACAAGAAUCAAUACAAUAGCCAUUUCUCUUCCCCUAUGUAUUACUAAAACGAAUUUAAAAGAAGUUUGGGGCAAGAACGAAUAUGCAAGUUCUUUUCCCUUCACUGGUGAUUUAUUUAUUUAUUUUGGCUACACCCACAGCAUAUGGAAAUUCUGAGCCAGGGAUCGAAUCCAAGCUGUAGCUGUAACCUACGCCACAGCUGUGGUGAUGCCAGAUCCUUUAAUCCACUGGGCUGGGGAUUGAACCCACGUUUCUGCAGUCGGAUUCUUAACCCAGUGUCACCAUGGUGGGAACUCUGUGACUGGUGAUGGGACCCACAGCGAUUAUAAGAAAAAGAAAAAAAAGGAGGAUCACCAGCCAUCUAUUCUUUGACGUCUUCUCCGGGAUCUUGCGAUUCCAGUUUACACUUGAUCUUGCUCCAGUACUCCGGCGACACGGGAGACA